RNAcentral lists this unclassified non-coding RNA (250 nucleotides) under Hevea brasiliensis (rubber tree). Lineage: Eukaryota; Viridiplantae; Streptophyta; Magnoliopsida; Malpighiales; Euphorbiaceae. The record is from RNAcentral.
UGAGAAUCUUUCUCGGAUCUCUUUCCCAACUGAGGUUCUCUCUGGCCUUUCUGCAGAUGGUCCUGGAGUAGCUGCGACCUUCCCACUUGAGUGUCGUCCCCUUGAACUGCCUCCAAUUUGAGGGUACUUCAGUAUAGUCCAAUCAAAGACAUAAUCAAAUUGAUAGCCUUCCCGUAUGAAUAAGUCGCGAAAAAGUCGCUUUAAAUAUGAAUAAUCUGGUUUGUCUUCAAAUCUCAGUGAUCGACAGUAA